RNAcentral lists this ribosomal RNA (457 nucleotides) under uncultured bacterium. Its description in RNAcentral is "partial 16S ribosomal RNA". It matches the Rfam family "Bacterial small subunit ribosomal RNA", at positions 28 to 523 of the family's 1533-position model. The record is from RNAcentral.
GAUGAACGCUGGCGGCGUGCCUAAUACAUGCAAGUCGAGCGGAAAGGCCCUUCGGGGUACUCGAGCGGCGGACGGCUGAGUAACGCGUAGGAACGUACCCCAAAGUGAGGGAUAACUGCUCGAAAGAGUAGCUAAUACCGCAUGUGCUCUUCGGAGUAAAGCUUCGGCGCUUUGGGAACGGCCUGCGUCCUAUUAGCUAGUUGAUGAGGUAAUUGCUCACCAAGGCGACGAUAGGUAGCUGGUCUGAGAGGAUGAUCAGCCAGACUGGGACUGAGACACGGCCCAGACUCCUACGGGAGACAGCAGUAGGGAAUUUUCCACAAUGGGCGAAAGCCUGAUGGAGCAACGCCGCGUGCAGGAUGAAUGCCUUCGGGUUGUAAACUGCUUUUAUAGGUGAAGAAUAUGACGGUAACCUAUGAAUAAGGAUCGGCUAACUCCGUGCCAGCCGCCGCGGUAA